GCCUACGGGGGGCAGCAGUCGAGAAUCAUUCACAAUGGGGGAAACCCUGAUGGUGCGACGCCGCGUGGGGGAAUGAAGGUCUUUGGAUUGUAAACCCCUGUCAUGUGGGAGCAAAUUAAAAAGAUAGUACCACAAGAGGAAGAGACGGCUAACUCUGUGCCAGCAGCCGCGGUAAUACAGAGGUCUCAAGCGUUGUUCGGAAUCACUGGGCGUAAAGCGUGCGUAGGCUGUUUCGUGAGUCGUGUGUGAAAGGCGCGGGCUCAACCCGCGGACGGCACAUGCUACUGCGAGACUAGAGUAAUGGG
Molecule: ribosomal RNA, 305 nt
Filed under: uncultured bacterium
Lineage: Bacteria
Description: bacterial SSU rRNA
Rfam family: Bacterial small subunit ribosomal RNA
Source: RNAcentral